RNAcentral lists this long non-coding RNA (284 nucleotides) under Mus pahari (shrew mouse). RNAcentral's name for it is "lncRNA (MGP_PahariEiJ_G0004445.1)". The record is from RNAcentral. Lineage: Eukaryota; Metazoa; Chordata; Mammalia; Rodentia; Muridae.
UGUCGGGAUACCAUUACAGGAGUCUGAGCCUUAGAGUGAAAGAGGAGUGUAUUCCCUAGGAAGUAUUACACAAAGAACGGCUGGAGACUCCAUUACCCCAAACUAAGCAAAUGAAGUAAAAUAGCUAAGGACAGAAACUGUCCACUUCAAGUUGUGGCUUGGCCAGGCACCUGCUGAAGAAUGCUUCCGGGGACCCCCGGGAACAGAGGGUUGGAAUUCUCUGAAAGAAGCCAUACCGGGUCUUCUUUGGAGUCCUCCACCUUCUCUCGACCUCACUCCCGAUC